This 1113-nucleotide ribosomal RNA is filed under the name Triticum aestivum (bread wheat). Its description in RNAcentral is "partial small subunit ribosomal RNA". The record is from RNAcentral. Lineage: Eukaryota; Viridiplantae; Streptophyta; Magnoliopsida; Poales; Poaceae.
AUGGCUCCGCACUGGUUACUAGCCUUAGUCUCGUUGCUGCUGCUCCUGCAAACUCCGUCCAUUUCCUCCCUUGAUGCUAGGGGAUCGGAUGCGACAUGCGUCGCCCAUGAGAGGGCGGCACUCCUCUCCUUCAAGGCAAGCUUGUCAGACCCCGCGAAACUACUUUCAUCGUGGCAUGGUGAACAUUGUUGCACCUGGGGAGGAGUUGGGUGCAGCAACAGAACCGGCCAUGUUCUCAAGCUCAACCUCAGUAGCUGCAGCCAAGAAUUCGGAGUGCGAGUGGGAGGUGAGAUCAGCCCCUCUUUGACUACCUUGCAUCACUUGAGGUAUUUAGACUUGAGCUGCAGCAACUUCAGUGGGGUACAGAUCCCCCAAAAAAUUGGUUCUCUUAAAAGUCUUCAGCAUCUUGAUCUUUCUCGUGCAAGCUUUGUGGGCAGGGUACCUCCACAGCUUGGUAAUCUCUCCAAUCUUAUAUUUCUCAGUGUCUCGGACAAUCCUUUGUACUCAGAUGAUCUUGCAUGGUUAUCACAUCUCACCUCACUACAGUACCUCGAUAUGAGCUCGGUUAAUCUUAGCACAGUAGUGGAUUGGGUGCAUGCAAUCAACAAGCUUCCUUCAUUGAAAGUUCUUCGUUUGGAAGACAGUGAUCUCAGAAAAAGCCCUGCUACUCUCUCUCAUUAUAAUCUAACAGCCCUCCGGGUGUUGGAUAUCAGCGGUAAUAGCUUUCAGGCUGGAUUUUCUCCCAGCUGGGUUUGGCAUAUAACUACAUUGACUUAUCUUGAUCUCUCCCAAUGUGAUUUCCAUGGCUCCAUUCCUGAUGAAAUGGGAAGUAUGACCUCUCUUGAAGAAGUUCACAUAGCCGAAGCCAACCUUGCCGGUAUAAUACCACCAAAUUUGAAGAAUCUAUGCAAUUUGAAGAUUGUGGAUCUACAUGAUAGCAACACCACAGGGGAUAUAGGAGAACUAAUGGAACGGUUGCCAAAAUGCUCAUGGGACAAGAUGUACGUGUUGGAUUUCUCGGACAACAACAUCAGUGGGAGCUUGCCAAAUUGGACCUGUGCCACUGUGGAUAGGAGCACUUCCAAAACUGGUUAUGCUACAUCUUCAUUCUAA